Molecule: ribosomal RNA, 108 nt
Filed under: Lysinibacillus sp. LK3
Lineage: Bacteria; Bacillati; Bacillota; Bacilli; Caryophanales; Bacillaceae
Also listed under: 1 other name
Description: partial 16S ribosomal RNA
Rfam family: Bacterial small subunit ribosomal RNA
Source: RNAcentral
UUUUAUGGAGAGUUUGAUCCUGGCUCAGGACGAACGCUGGCGGCGUGCCUAAUACAUGCAAGUCGAGCGAACAGAAAAGGAGCUUGCUCCUUUGACGUUAGCGGCGGA